AGUAAAAUGCCUGACUAAAGGAUUAUCUUGAUAGGAUAAAUAACGUAAAUUAUAUAUUACUUUUACUA
Molecule: transfer RNA, 68 nt
Filed under: Amblyomma cajennense (Cayenne tick)
Lineage: Eukaryota; Metazoa; Arthropoda; Arachnida; Ixodida; Ixodidae
Also listed under: 1 other name
Description: tRNA-Ile
Source: RNAcentral